AAUAUUGCACAAUGGGCGCAAGCCUGAUGCAGCCAUGCCGCGUGUAUGAAGAAGGCCUUCGGGUUGUAAAGUACUUUCAGCAGUGAGGAAGGCGGAGUCGUUAAUAGCGGCCUCGUUUGACGUUAGCUGCAGAAGAAGCACCGGCUAACUCCGUGCCAGCAGCCGCGGUAAUACGGAGGGUGCGAGCGUUAAUCGGAAUUACUGGGCGUAAAGCGCAUGCAGGUGGUUCGUUAAGUCAGAUGUGAAAGCCCGGGGCUCAACCUCGGAAUUGCAUUUGAAACUGGCAGACUAGAGUACUGUAGAGGGGGUAGAAUUUCAGGUGUAGCGGUGAAAUGCGUAGAGAUCUGAAGGAAUACCGGUGGCGAAGGCGGCCCCCUGGACAGAUACUGACACUCAGAUGCGAAAGCGUGGGGAGCAAACAGGAUUAGAUACCCUGGUAG
This 440-nucleotide ribosomal RNA is filed under the name uncultured bacterium. RNAcentral describes it as "bacterial SSU rRNA". It matches the Rfam family "Bacterial small subunit ribosomal RNA", at positions 360 to 793 of the family's 1533-position model. The record is from RNAcentral.